AUUGAACGCUGGCGGCAGGCCUAACACAUGCAAGUCGAGCGGAUGAAGGGAGCUUGCUCCUGGAUUCAGCGGCGGACGGGUGAGUAAUGCCUAGGAAUCUGCCUGGUAGUGGGGGAUAACGUCCGGAAACGGGCGCUAAUACCGCAUACGUCCUGAGGUAGAAAGUGGGGGAUCUUCGGACCUCACGCUAUCAGAUGAGCCUAGGUCGGAUUAGCUAGUUGGUGGGGUAAAGGCCUACCAAGGCGACGAUCCGUAACUGGUCUGAGAGGAUGAUCAGUCACACUGGAACUGAGACACGGUCCAGACUCCUACGGGAGGCAGCAGUGGGGAAUAUUGGACAAUGGGCGAAAGCCUGAUCCAGCCAUGCCGCGUGUGUGAAGAAGGUCUUCGGAUUGUAAAGCACUUUAAGUUGGGAGGAAGGGCAGUAAGUUAAUACCUUGCUGUUUUGACGUUACCAACAGAAUAAGCACCGGCUAACUACGUG
This 484-nucleotide ribosomal RNA is filed under the name uncultured bacterium. RNAcentral's name for it is "partial 16S ribosomal RNA". It matches the Rfam family "Bacterial small subunit ribosomal RNA", at positions 30 to 507 of the family's 1533-position model. The record is from RNAcentral.